AGAUUGAACGCUGGCGGCAUGCCUUACACAUGCAAGUCGAACGGCAGCACGGGAGCAAUCCUGGUGGCGAGUGGCGAACGGGUGAGUAAUAUAUCGGAACGUGCCCAGUCGUGGGGGAUAACGCAGCGAAAGCUGUGCUAAUACCGCAUACGAUCUAUGGAUGAAAGCGGGGGAUCGCAAGACCUCGCGCGAUUGGAGCGGCCGAUAUCAGAUUAGCUAGUUGGUGGGGUAAAAGCUACCAAGGCGACGAUCUGUAGCUGGUCUGAGAGGACGACCAGCCACACUGGAACUGAGACA
RNAcentral lists this ribosomal RNA (297 nucleotides) under uncultured soil bacterium. Its description in RNAcentral is "partial 16S ribosomal RNA". It matches the Rfam family "Bacterial small subunit ribosomal RNA", at positions 26 to 326 of the family's 1533-position model. The record is from RNAcentral.